UACGUAGGGUGCAAGCGUUGUCCGGAAUUAUUGGGCGUAAAGAGCUCGUAGGCGGUUUGUCGCGUCUGCCGUGAAAGUCCGGGGCUCAACUCCGGAUCUGCGGUGGGUACGGGCAGACUAGAGUGAUGUAGGGGAGACUGGAAUUCCUGGUGUAGCGGUGGAAUGCGCAGAUAUCAGGAGGAACACCGGUGGCGAAGGCGGGUCUCUGGGCUGUAACUGACGCUGAGGAGCGAAAGCGUGGGUAGCGAACAGG
This 253-nucleotide ribosomal RNA is filed under the name uncultured bacterium. RNAcentral's name for it is "partial 16S ribosomal RNA". It matches the Rfam family "Bacterial small subunit ribosomal RNA", at positions 524 to 776 of the family's 1533-position model. The record is from RNAcentral.